Molecule: unclassified non-coding RNA, 336 nt
Filed under: soil metagenome
Description: partial contains 5.8S ribosomal RNA, internal transcribed spacer 2, and large subunit ribosomal RNA
Rfam family: 5.8S ribosomal RNA (bases 1-120)
Source: RNAcentral
GAUGAAGAACGUAGCGAAAUGCGAUAAGUAAUGUGAAUUGCAGAUUUCAGUGAAUCAUCGAAUCUUUGAACGCACAUUGCGCCCGCCAGUAUUCUGGCGGGCAUGCCUGUUCGAGCGUCAUUUCAACCAUCAAGCCCCAGGCUUGUGUUGGGGACCUGCGGCUGCCGCAGGCCCUGAAAACCAGUGGCGGGCUCGCUGUCACACCGGGCGUAGUAGAUUUUAUCUCGCUCAGGGCGUGCUGCGGGUUCCGGCCGUUAAAAAGCCUUUUUUACCCAAGGUUGACCUCGGAUCAGGUAGGAAGACCCGCUGAACUUAAGCAUAUCAAUAAGCGGAGGA